GCCGAGGUGGUGAAACUGGGAAACACGUAGGAUUUAGGAUCCUAUGGCGAAAGCUUUGUGGGUUCGAAUCCCACCCUCGGCACUA
RNAcentral lists this transfer RNA (85 nucleotides) under bacterium (Candidatus Gribaldobacteria) CG_4_10_14_0_2_um_filter_33_15. RNAcentral's name for it is "tRNA-Leu". It matches the Rfam family "tRNA". Rfam says of the family: Transfer RNA (tRNA) molecules are approximately 80 nucleotides in length. Their secondary structure includes four short double-helical elements and three loops (D, anti-codon, and T loops). Further hydrogen bonds mediate the characteristic L-shaped molecular structure. tRNAs have two regions of fundamental functional importance: the anti-codon, which is responsible for specific mRNA codon recognition, and the 3' end, to which the tRNAs corresponding amino acid is attached (by aminoacyl-tRNA synthetases). tRNAs cope with the degeneracy of the genetic code in two manners: having more than one tRNA (with a specific anti-codon) for a particular amino acid; and 'wobble' base-pairing, i.e. permitting non-standard base-pairing at the 3rd anti-codon position. Lineage: Bacteria; Candidatus Gribaldobacteria. The record is from RNAcentral. RNAcentral also lists the same sequence under 3 other names.